UACGUAGGGCGCAAGCGUUGUCCGGAAUUAUUGGGCGUAAAGAGCGUGUAGGCGGCCAGGUAGGUCUGGUGUGAAAACUCGAGGCUUAACCUUGAGAUGUCAUCGGAAACCAUUUGGCUAGAGUCCGGAAGAGGAAAGUGGAAUUCCUGGUGUAGCGGUGAAAUGCGCAGAUAUCAGGAAGAACACCAAUGGCGAAAGCAGCUUUCUGGGACGGUACUGACGCUGAGACGCGAAAGCGUGGGGAGCGAACAGG
RNAcentral lists this ribosomal RNA (253 nucleotides) under uncultured bacterium. RNAcentral describes it as "partial 16S ribosomal RNA". It matches the Rfam family "Bacterial small subunit ribosomal RNA", at positions 524 to 776 of the family's 1533-position model. The record is from RNAcentral.